This 79-nucleotide transfer RNA is filed under the name Burkholderia cepacia. RNAcentral describes it as "tRNA-Met". It matches the Rfam family "tRNA". Rfam says of the family: Transfer RNA (tRNA) molecules are approximately 80 nucleotides in length. Their secondary structure includes four short double-helical elements and three loops (D, anti-codon, and T loops). The record is from RNAcentral. Lineage: Bacteria; Pseudomonadati; Pseudomonadota; Betaproteobacteria; Burkholderiales; Burkholderiaceae.
GGGCCUGUAGCUCAGCCGGUUAGAGCAGUCGACUCAUAAUCGAUUGGUCGCUGGUUCAAGUCCAGCCACAGGCCCACCA